GGCAAAGGCUGGUAACCAGGCAGUCAAACCUUCUAAGUCACAGCAGAGGAGCAGUGAUCUCAAGAGAUGAUGGGUAACCGCUGGUCCAGCCAAGCAGAUGCCAGAUGAGCAGUGAUCUUAACAACAAGCCACGUCCACGGAAGCAUGAAAAUCGGUACCUCGGCACAGUCAGGCUCUCCACAUGACUGGCACGACGCUGCUUUGUUUGAAAAAAGCGUCUGUAUUCUGGGCAGCAGUUUUUGAGCAGAGGUCUUAAAGAGCGACCUUCUGGGAUGAUCCUGUCCAGACCGGAAUCAAGAGGGAGCUGGAUAGAAUAAAAGUACUUGGAGGCCUCUA
RNAcentral lists this long non-coding RNA (336 nucleotides) under Rattus norvegicus (Norway rat). Its description in RNAcentral is "long non-coding RNA NONRATT027423". Lineage: Eukaryota; Metazoa; Chordata; Mammalia; Rodentia; Muridae. The record is from RNAcentral.